Neopelma chrysocephalum (saffron-crested tyrant-manakin) is the source of this 339-nucleotide long non-coding RNA. RefSeq lists it as uncharacterized. The record is from RefSeq and is a predicted model, not a curated record. The transcript is spliced from 2 exons. NCBI's taxonomy places the organism in Eukaryota, Metazoa, Chordata, Aves, Passeriformes, Pipridae.
AAAUGGACCAUGGCAGAGCCAGCAUUGUGGCUCCCAAUGAGCAGCCCCUAGGCUUCCCUGAUGUUCUGGCAGCAUUUUGUCACGUUUUGUCCAUCCUGAAACCUUCUAUCCUCAAGGCUCAGGCAACCUAUGCCAGCUGUCCAUGCAGGAGCAGCCCUUCCCUGCAGCCUGGACACUCCAGGCAGGGGUGGUACCCCAUGCACUGACAGCAGAUAUAGCACCUCAGGCAUCCCUAGCAUCCCUGGUCCUUGGCAUUUUUGGGGCAAGGGCUCAUCAAUCCUGUGAGAGCAUACCUGCCCUCACCUGGGUGAGGUAUGCCCAGUAAAUGUAAUUUACAGA